Molecule: ribosomal RNA, 468 nt
Filed under: uncultured bacterium
Lineage: Bacteria
Description: partial 16S ribosomal RNA
Rfam family: Bacterial small subunit ribosomal RNA
Source: RNAcentral
GACGAACGCUGGCGGCGUGCUUAACACAUGCAAGUCGAACGGAAAGGCCCUGCUUUUGUGGGGUGCUCGAGUGGCGAACGGGUGAGUAACACGUGAGUAACCUGCCCUUGACUUUGGGAUAACUUCAGGAAACUGGGGCUAAUACCGGAUAGGAGCUCCUGCUGCAUGGUGGGGGUUGGAAAGUUUCGGCGGUUAGGGAUGGACUCGCGGCUUAUCAGCUUGUUGGUGGGGUAGUGGCUUACCAAGGCUUUGACGGGUAGCCGGCCUGAGAGGGUGACCGGCCACAUUGGGACUGAGAUACGGCACAGACUCCUACGGGAGGCAGCAGUGUGGAAUAUUGCACAAUGGGCGGAAGCCUGAUGCAGCAACGCCGCGUGCGGGAUGACGGCCUUCGGGUUGUAAACCGCUUUCGCCUGUGACGAAGCGUGAGUGACGGUAAUGGGUAAAGAAGCACCGGCUAACUACGUG